AACGUAGGACGCAAACGUUAUCCGGAAUUACUGGGCGUAAAGGGCGCGUAGGCGGGUGGACAAGUCUCUCGUGAAAGCCCACGGCUCAACCGUGGAAUUGCGGGAGAUACUGUCUGUCUUGAGUCCGGGAGGGGAGGGUGGAAUUCCCAGUGUAGCGGUGAAAUGCGUAGAUAUUGGGAGGAACACCGGUGGCGAAGGCGGCUCUCUGGACCGGUACUGACGCUGAGGCGCGAAAGCUAGGGGAGCAAACGGG
RNAcentral lists this ribosomal RNA (253 nucleotides) under uncultured bacterium. RNAcentral describes it as "partial 16S ribosomal RNA". It matches the Rfam family "Bacterial small subunit ribosomal RNA", at positions 524 to 776 of the family's 1533-position model. The record is from RNAcentral.